Myzus persicae (green peach aphid) is the source of this 186-nucleotide long non-coding RNA. RefSeq lists it as uncharacterized. NCBI's taxonomy places the organism in Eukaryota, Metazoa, Arthropoda, Insecta, Hemiptera, Aphididae. The transcript has 2 exons. The record is from RefSeq and is a predicted model, not a curated record.
CAAAAAUUGAAAUUGGAAAAUUGGCAGUUGAAAAUAAAAAAUUAACAUUUGAAAACAAAUGUCUUUCGAAGUUGAAGGACGAAAAUAAAUUAUUACAAUCCAGAUUAAUGACUGGAGAACGGAAUUUGUUAUACCUUCAAACGAAAUUUGAUAAAUUGUACAACGAGAAACAACGCCAGAUAAAUG